CAAUUUCGACGAAAAAAAGUAAAUAUAGCAUAAAAUUUAGUUGAAAGACUAAAAUAAAGCAAUCUGGUGGCAAUUUAUUGAAUCGAGAAGACGGUAGUGAGUAGGGCGUUCAAAUAAAAAUUGCAUUCUGUGGCCGCCGUUGCGCUGGCAAAUGGAACGAGUAAGAUUUCCAAAUGAAAUUGAAGCCACAGCAAAUAGUCCAUAGCUCCAAGGCUUCGAAACAAAUAUAGAACCUAUACGAUGCCAGAAAGACUACAGAGAAUCGAAGAGCGCUAACCAGGAAACAGCGUAAAAGGGCCAAUUCGUUGAGCAAGGGCGUGCUCAUAGCAUGGAAAUACAAUGCAAACGGUGCCAACAUAAAAUUAAACUGCCAAGGCAUAAGCAAGAAUUUUACCUGAAACUGUGACGCCUGCCCACAGCAUCAAAUAAGGAUAUCGUUCCAAUGAAACCCAAUAUUAACGACGUAUUUUGACGACGAUGAACUCUUUGCGAACGCUCCGGGUUUUCAUUACCGGGCUUGUAAAUUGAUGGCACGGAGCCUCGUUUCAACAAUCUUCUUUUUGCAUAACCUUAGAAAUGUUUUAAACACUUUCAUUAAUAUAAACACAAUAAACGAAAUAAAUAAACAUCCUA
RNAcentral lists this long non-coding RNA (633 nucleotides) under Rhagoletis pomonella (apple maggot). RNAcentral's name for it is "uncharacterized LOC118749785". The record is from RNAcentral. Lineage: Eukaryota; Metazoa; Arthropoda; Insecta; Diptera; Tephritidae.